CCUACGGGUGGCAGCAGUGAGGAAUAUUGGUCAAUGGACGAGAGUCUGAACCAGCCAAGUAGCGUGAAGGAUGACUGCCCUAUGGGUUGUAAACUUCUUUUAUAAAGGAAUAAAACGAGGCACGUGUGCCUUUUUGCAUGUACUUUAUGAAUAAGGAUCGGCUAACUCCGUGCCAGCAGCCGCGGUAAUACGGAGGAUCCGAGCGUUAUCCGGAUUUAUUGGGUUUAAAGGGAGCGUAGAUGGGUUGUUAAGUCAGUUGUGAAAGGUUGCGGCUCAACCGUAAAAUUGCAAUUGAUACUGGCAGUCUUGAGUACAGUUAAGGUAGGCGGAAUUCGUGGUGUAGCGGUGAAAUGCUUAGAUAUCACGAAGAACCCCGAUUGCGAAGGCAGCUUACUAAACUGUGACUGACAUUGAUGCUCGAAAGUGUGGGUAUCAAACAGGAUUAGAUACCCCUGUAGUC
This 460-nucleotide ribosomal RNA is filed under the name uncultured bacterium. RNAcentral describes it as "partial 16S ribosomal RNA". It matches the Rfam family "Bacterial small subunit ribosomal RNA", at positions 338 to 795 of the family's 1533-position model. The record is from RNAcentral.